GGGGAAUAUUGGACAAUGGAGGGAACUCUGAUCCAGCAAUUCUGUGUGCACGAAGAAGGUUUUCGGAUUGUAAAGUGCUUUCAGUUGGGAAGAAGAAAGUGACGGUACCAACAGAAGAAGCGACGGCUAAAUACGUGCCAGCAGCCGCGGUAAUACGUAUGUCGCGAGCGUUAUCCGGAAUUAUUGGGCAUAAAGGGCAUCUAGGCGGUUAUGCAAGUCAGGGGUGAAAACUUACGGCUCAACCGUGAGCUUGCCUUUGAAACUGUGUGACUAGAGUACUGGAGAGGUGGGCGGAACUACACGAGUAGAGGUGAAAUUCGUAGAUAUGUGUAGGAAUGCCGAUGAUGAAGAUAGCUCACUGGACAGAAACUGACGCUGAAGUGCGAAAGCUAGGGGAGCAAACAGGAUUAGAUACCCUGGUAGUCCUAGCUGUAAACGAUGAUCACUGGGUGUGGGCAUGAAGAGUGUCUGUGCCGAAGCGAAUGCGAUAAGUGAUCCGCCUGGGGAGUACGACCGCAAGGUUG
This 524-nucleotide ribosomal RNA is filed under the name uncultured bacterium. Its description in RNAcentral is "bacterial SSU rRNA". It matches the Rfam family "Bacterial small subunit ribosomal RNA", at positions 356 to 896 of the family's 1533-position model. The record is from RNAcentral.